GUGUGACAUCGGGUAUGAUGAUAUUGGAAUAAGACAACUAAAGAGAGCCAUGCUAGGGAACUACCUCUUCAUGUGUUCCGUAUUAGUCAUGGCAUCUACCGCUUUUAAAAAUACAGGAAAUAGACCAUGUGAACGAAUGAAAAACCAGUGUCAAGGACAUACAAGGCCGAAUUGUCUCUUCAUGAAACAUAACACAAGAGGCUGGCCCAAAUUUAUGUGCACUUUGAAGAGUCAAGAGUGUCAUUCGGCAUGGGGAAGAGAAUGUGGAAAUUUUGUUUCAAUUUCUUGCUAUAUACACAAAAACUACUGUGAAUGCUUAUGUGAGCUUCGUCCAAACAACAAAUCAAGGGCACGAAGUCCUAGAAGAUCAAGCCCAGGACGGAAGCAGCUCCUUCUUGGAAAGCGCCAUUGUCACCGACAAAGCAAAUGAGCAUGUGCCCACUUUUGUCAUGGUCAUGUUUCUGAAUUCUAUGCCGUACUUCCAGGAAGCAUUCUUUGGCACUUUGAAAAGUCAUAAUGCUAGGUUUCGAAACAUGUCCUCGCACAGGCAUUUUUGGGCUCUUCAGUAGAGCCCUAGCGGCCUAGAUGCCAGCAACACAAUAGAAUAAAUUCUAUGUUUUUGUGAUUUAAGAAAUAACCUGAA
Long non-coding RNA from Rhipicephalus microplus (southern cattle tick), 643 nucleotides. Lineage: Eukaryota; Metazoa; Arthropoda; Arachnida; Ixodida; Ixodidae. The record is from RefSeq and is a predicted model, not a curated record.